This 411-nucleotide ribosomal RNA is filed under the name Triticum aestivum (bread wheat). RNAcentral describes it as "partial small subunit ribosomal RNA". The record is from RNAcentral. Lineage: Eukaryota; Viridiplantae; Streptophyta; Magnoliopsida; Poales; Poaceae.
AUGACGCCGACCCGCCACUCGCCGGCCGCGGUGGCCGUCGCGCUCCUCCUCGCCGUCCUGGCCGCCGAGGCGGGGGGCGACGAGAGCGACUGCAGCGUGGCGCAGACGGCCUUCAGCGAGUGCACCGGGUACGUGGCCGGCCUGGACGACGAGGUCCCGCCGCAGUGCUGCUUGGGGCUGGGCGACGUCAAGGACCUGGCGCCGGGCGCGGACCAGCGCCGGGACCUCUGCGCGUGCCUCCUGUCGGAGAUGCUCGCCGCCGGCAACGGCAAUGUCGACUCCGGCCGCGCCGCCGGCCUCCCGUCCGCGUGCGGCCUCAGCGUCAGGUUCCUCCCAACCAGCCCCGACUUUGACUGCUCCCAGUACGUAUUUCUGCUUCCCCCUUGUUUUGUUCGUCCUUCCAUCAGCUGA